Long non-coding RNA from Oncorhynchus tshawytscha (Chinook salmon), 969 nucleotides. RefSeq lists it as uncharacterized. The record is from RefSeq and is a predicted model, not a curated record. The transcript is spliced from 2 exons. Lineage: Eukaryota; Metazoa; Chordata; Actinopteri; Salmoniformes; Salmonidae.
CAAACCUUCCCGAAAGUACAUUUAAAUGCGAUUGUAUCCACGUCUUCAAAUGUAUUUCAUUUCAAAUUUGGCUUCCAGUGUGGUUUAACUUUCUGGGUUAUAGUGACGCAUCUGGCAAUGCCUUCUCUGCAUGUUCCCAAGCUCAUAGUGCUUUCUGGAAAACGGGGAACUCGGAAACAUACGAAGUACAAUCGUGACGUCAGUGAGUUCCCGAUUUAGAAUUGGACGACGGUUUGAAAAUAUUUUCCCUUGUCGGAGAUUUUUCUUUUCUUUUACUCCCGGAGUUCCCAUUUUGUCCUGAACGUCGGAAUUCGGAUAUUUUCGAGUUCCCAGUUGAUGUGAACGCGGCAUCAAAGUACAAACCCUCCGAUGUGACGUCACCAAUACGAGGCGUCCAACUUUUUUUCAUGGCCAUGCAAACUAACACGAGUUGGCAACACUCAAAUGUGUCACUUUUGUGAAGCCACAUGCUUUUAUGUCCUGUUGAAAGUGUGUUUCCCCUCCCAGUUUCCGAAGAAUUGGCUCUUUUGACGAAGACGUGUCGCGUUCAAGCCACAGGGACUUUUCGUAAGUUUUCAGAAAUUUCAACUGUCCCAGAGAAGACCCAUCUCCCCUGAAGACCCAUCUCCCCUGCAGUCCCAGAGAGAAGACCCAUCUCCCCUGCAGUCCCAGAGAGAAGACCCAUCUCCCCUGCAGUCCCAGAGAGAAGACACAUCUCCCCUGCAGUCCCAGAGAGAAGACACAUCUCCCCUGCAGUCCCAGAGAGAAGACACAUCUCCCCUGCAGUCCCAGAGAGAAGACCCAUCUCCCCUGCAGUCCCAGAGAGAAGACCCAUCUCCCCUGCAGUCCCAGAGAGAAGACCCAUCUCCCCUGCAGUCCCAGAGAGAAGACCCAUCUCCCCUGCAGUCCCAGAGAGAAGACCCAUCUCCCCUGCAGUCCCAGAGAGAAGACCCAUCUCCCCUGCAGUCC